RNAcentral lists this ribosomal RNA (550 nucleotides) under uncultured bacterium. Its description in RNAcentral is "bacterial SSU rRNA". It matches the Rfam family "Bacterial small subunit ribosomal RNA", at positions 355 to 896 of the family's 1533-position model. The record is from RNAcentral.
UAGGGGAUCUUCGGCAAUGGACGGAAGUCUGACCGAGCAACGCCGCGUGAGUGAAGAAGGUUUUCGGAUCGUAAAGCUCUGUUGUAAGAGAAGAACGAGUGUGAGAGUGGAAAGUUCACACUGUGACGGUAUCUUACCAGAAAGGGACGGCUAACUACGUGCCAGCAGCCGCGGUAAUACGUAGGUCCCGAGCGUUGUCCGGAUUUAUUGGGCGUAAAGCGAGCGCAGGCGGUUAGAUAAGUCUGAAGUUAAAGGCUGUGGCUUAACCAUAGUAGGCUUUGGAAACUGUUUAACUUGAGUGCAAGAGGGGAGAGUGGAAUUCCAUGUGUAGCGGUGAAAUGCGUAGAUAUAUGGAGGAACACCGGUGGCGAAAGCGGCUCUCUGGCUUGUAACUGACGCUGAGGCUCGAAAGCGUGGGGAGCAAACAGGAUUAGAUACCCUGGUAGUCCACGCUGUAAACGAUGAGUGCUAGGUGUUAGACCCUUUCCGGGGUUUAGUGCCGUAGCUAACGCAUUAAGCACUCCGCCUGGGGAGUACGACCGCAAGGUUG